Molecule: ribosomal RNA, 625 nt
Filed under: uncultured bacterium
Lineage: Bacteria
Description: bacterial SSU rRNA
Rfam family: Bacterial small subunit ribosomal RNA
Source: RNAcentral
CGACGGCAGCACGGACUUCGGUCUGGUGGCGAGUGGCGAACGGGUGAGUAAUAUAUCGGAACGUACCCUGGAGUGGGGGAUAACGCAGCGAAAGUUGCGCUAAUACCGCAUACGAUCUACGGAUGAAAGUGGGGGCUCGCAAGACCUCAUGCUCGUGGAGCGGCCGAUAUCUGAUUAGCUAGUUGGUAGGGUAAAAGCCUACCAAGGCUUCGAUCAGUAGCUGGUCUGAGAGGACGACCAGCCACACUGGGACUGAGACACGGCCCAGACUCCUACGGGAGGCAGCAGUGGGGAAUUUUGGACAAUGGGGGCAACCCUGAUCCAGCAAUGCCGCGUGAGUGAAGAAGGCCUUCGGGUUGUAAAGCUCUUUUGUCAGGGAAGAAACGGUGAAGGCUAAUACUCUUUGCUAAUGACGGUACCUGAAGAAUAAGCACCGGCUAACUACGUGCCAGCAGCCGCGGUAAUACGUAGGGUGCAAGCGUUAAUCGGAAUUACUGGGCGUAAAGCGUGCGCAGGCGGUUAUGUAAGUCAGAUGUGAAAUCCCCGGGCUCAACCUGGGAAUGGCAUUUGAGACUGCAUGGCUAGAGUGUGUCAGAGGGGGGUAGAAUUCCACGUGUAGCAGUGA